RNAcentral lists this ribosomal RNA (179 nucleotides) under uncultured bacterium. Its description in RNAcentral is "partial 16S ribosomal RNA". It matches the Rfam family "Bacterial small subunit ribosomal RNA", at positions 598 to 776 of the family's 1533-position model. The record is from RNAcentral.
AAGCCCCCGGCUUAACCGGGGAAGGUCGUCGGGUACGGGUGAGCUUGAGGGUAUCAGGGGCUGGUGGAAUUCCCGGUGUAGCAGUGAAAUGCGUAGAGAUCGGGAGGAACAUCCGUGGCGAAGGCGGCCAUCUGGACCAGCACUGACACUGAGGCACGAAAGCGUGGGGAGCAAACAGG